RNAcentral lists this ribosomal RNA (572 nucleotides) under Cryptosporiopsis sp. P36. RNAcentral's name for it is "eukaryotic LSU rRNA". It matches the Rfam family "Eukaryotic large subunit ribosomal RNA", at positions 62 to 648 of the family's 3401-position model. Lineage: Eukaryota; Fungi; Ascomycota; Leotiomycetes; Helotiales; Dermateaceae. The record is from RNAcentral.
AAACCAACAGGGAUUACCUCAGUAACGGCGAGUGAAGCGGUAACAGCUCAAAUUUGAAAUCUGGGUCUUUCAGGCUCCGAGUUGUAAUUUGUAGAAGAUGCUUUGGGUGCGGCCCCGGUCUAAGUUCCUUGGAACAGGACGUCAUAGAGGGUGAGAAUCCCGUAUGUGAUCGGUGGCUUGCGCCCGUGUAAAGCUCUUUCGACGAGUCGGGUUGUUUGGGAAUGCAGCUCUAAAUGGGUGGUAAAUUUCAUCUAAAGCUAAAUAUUGGCCAGAGACCGAUAGCGCACAAGUAGAGUGAUCGAAAGAUGAAAAGCACUUUGGAAAGAGAGUUAAACAGUACGUGAAAUUGUUGAAAGGGAAGCGCUUGCAACCAGACUUGCGCGGGGUUGAUCAUCCGGGGUUCUCCCCGGUGCACUCGGCCUCGCUCAGGCCAGCAUCGGUUUCGGUGGUUGGAUAAAGGCCUUGGGAAUGUGACUCCUUUCGGGGAGUGUUAUAGCCCUCGGUGCAAUGCAGCCUACCGGGACCGAGGACCGCGCUUCGGCUAGGAUGCUGGCGUAAUGGUUGUAAGCGAC